This 487-nucleotide ribosomal RNA is filed under the name uncultured bacterium. RNAcentral describes it as "partial 16S ribosomal RNA". It matches the Rfam family "Bacterial small subunit ribosomal RNA", at positions 28 to 507 of the family's 1533-position model. The record is from RNAcentral.
GAUGAACGCUAGCGAUAGGCUUAACACAUGCAAGUCGAGGGGCAGCACAAGGUAGCUUGCUAUCUGGGUGGCGACCGGCGCACGGGUGCGUAACGCGUAUGCAACUUGCCCUAUACAGGAGGAUAACCCGUCGAAAGACGGACUAAUACUGCGUAUGCUCACAACUUGGCAUCAAGUGGUGAGGAAAGAAAUUCGGUAUAGGGUAGGCAUGCGUCCCAUUAGCUUGUUGGUGAGGUAACGGCUCACCAAGGCAACGAUGGGUAGGGGAACUGAGAGGUUUAUCCCCCACACUGGUACUGAGACACGGACCAGACUCCUACGGGAGGCAGCAGUGAGGAAUAUUGGUCAAUGGGCGCGAGCCUGAACCAGCCAAGUCGCGUGAAGGAUGACUGUCUUAUGGAUUGUAAACUUCUUUUAUACGGGAAUAACAAGAGUCACGUGUGACUCCCUGCAUGUACCGUAUGAAUAAGCAUCGGCUAACUCCGUG